UUUCAAGAAAGUAUGAUGGUGACACUGUGCUGACUGCAGCGCUGCAGGGAGCAGAGCUCACACAGACCCUGCCAUGGUCUGGGUGCUGAAGCAUUUUGGGCUGGCUCCACUUCUCUGCCAGGAAUGGGGAUGGGGAUGCACAGGGCAGUGGCUCCUCCCUUCAGCCUUCAGCCCCAUCUGACCCCGCAGGGAGAGCUGAAAUUCAGUGUCCUGCUGUCCAUUGGGAAGAAACCAUGAGAAAACAGCAGUGCUGCGAGUCAGAAAGGAGUCUGUUUACAUCUUGGUAGAGUGGAUGAAAGCACCCAACCAGGAGAUAGUGGAAAGCCAAGGAGGCCCUCCUGAGACCUGGUGUGGAGUGUCUAACAAGAUGAACCUGGAAUCACCCUCUAUUAACUCAGGGUGGAGUUUCCUUGCCAUAGGGAUUUUUCUAGAGGGCAGAAAGGCACAGAACAAAUGCAGUGUCACCUGAGGUUAAACUGCUCCAGAGCUGCCUUCAGAGUCCUUCCCUCAUUGUGGCAGGGAUGGGCUGCAUGACACCACAGAAUACUUUGGGACCAGAGAGGGAUGGACUCAUCUCACCUGCUCCGUGCUUUCCUAAGAGGUUUUUUGAGUAACAGUUCCUAUUUUUCAUGAUUUAACUAUCAGUCUGAACAUUAGGCCAUUUAUUUCUCUAAUUCCAUUCUAGCCAUACUCUUGUAAAACCUCACACUCCGCAUUACAAAAUGUUAAAUAAACAGACUUUUGUCACACUUCUGUGUGAUGCUAUUAUGGAAGCACAAUAAAGAGAUCAAUGUAUUCCA
Zonotrichia leucophrys gambelii is the source of this 800-nucleotide long non-coding RNA. RefSeq lists it as uncharacterized. The record is from RefSeq and is a predicted model, not a curated record. The transcript has 3 exons. NCBI's taxonomy places the organism in Eukaryota, Metazoa, Chordata, Aves, Passeriformes, Passerellidae.